CCUACGGGGGGCAGCAGUGAGGAAUAUUGGUCAAUGGCCGGAAGGCUGAACCAGCCAAGCCGCGUGAAGGACGAAGGUGCCAAGCAUUGUAAACUUCUUUUGUCAAGGGACAAAAUCAGGCUCGAGAGCCUGACCGAGGGUACUUGAAGAAAAAGCAUCGGCUAACUCCGUACCAGCAGCCGCGGUAAUACGGAGGAUGCGAGCGUUAUCCGGAUUUAUUGGGUUUUAGGGGUGCGUAGGCGGACUGUAAAGACAGCGGUAAAAGCCCGGGGCUAAACCCCGGCGAGCCGUUGAAACUGGCUGUCUUGAGAGGACGAGAGGUAUGCGGAAUGCGGAGUGUAGCGGUGAAAUGCGUAGAUAUUACGCAGAACUCCGAGUGCGAAGGCGGCAUACCGGCGGCGAACUGACGCUGAGGCACGAAAGCGUGGGUAUCGAACAGGAUUAGAUACCCUAGUAGUC
This 459-nucleotide ribosomal RNA is filed under the name uncultured bacterium. RNAcentral describes it as "partial 16S ribosomal RNA". It matches the Rfam family "Bacterial small subunit ribosomal RNA", at positions 338 to 795 of the family's 1533-position model. The record is from RNAcentral.